Molecule: ribosomal RNA, 792 nt
Filed under: uncultured archaeon
Lineage: Archaea
Description: bacterial SSU rRNA
Rfam family: Archaeal small subunit ribosomal RNA
Source: RNAcentral
GCUCAGUAACACGUGGACAACCUGCCCUUAGGACGGGUAUAAACCCGGGAAACUGGGUAUAAUACCCGAUAGGUCUCGAGUGCUGGAAUGCAUCGAGAUCUAAAGCUCCGGCGCCUAAGGAUGGGUCUGCGGCCUAUCAGGUAGUAGUGGGUGUAGUGUACCUACUAGCCUACGACGGGUACGGGUUGUGAGAGCAAGAGCCCGGAGAUGGAUUCUGAGACACGAAUCCAGGCCCUACGGGGUGCAGCAGGCGCGAAAACUUUACAAUGCUGGCAACAGCGAUAAGGGAACCUCGAGUGCCAGGUUACAAAUCUGGCUGUCGUGAUGCCUAAAAAGCAUUGCAUAGCAAGGGCCGGGCAAGACCGGUGCCAGCCGCCGCGGUAACACCGGCGGCUCGAGUGGUAACCGUUAUUAUUGGGUCUAAAGGGUCUGUAGCCGGCCGGAUAAGUCUCUUGAGAAAUCUGGCAGCUUAACUGUCAGGCUUUCAGGAGAUACUGUCUGGCUCGAGGCCGGGAGAGGUGAGAGGUACUUCAGGGGUAGGGGGUGAAAUCUUGUAAUCCUUGAAGGACCACCAGUGGCGAAGGCGUCUCACCAGAACGGACCUGACGGCAAGGGACGAAAGCUAGGGGCACGAACCGGAUUAGAUACCCGGGUAGUCCUAGCCGUAAACGAUACUCGCUAGGUGUCGGCCACGGUGCGACCGUUUGUCGGUGCCGUAGGGAAGCCGUGAAGCGAGCCACCUGGGAAGUACGGCCGCAAGGCUGAAACUUAAAGGAAUUGGCGGGGGAGCAC